UACGGGGGGGGCAAGCGUUGUUCGGAAUUACUGGGCGUAAAGGGCUCGUAGGUGGCCAACUAAGUCAGACGUGAAAUCCCUCAGCUUAACUGGGGAACUGCGUCUGAUACUGGAUGGCUUGAGUUUGGGAGAGGGAUGCGGAAUUCCAGGUGUAGCGGUGAAAUGCGCAGAUAUCUGGAGGAACACCGGUGGCGAAGGCGGCAUCCUGGACCAACACUGACACUGAGGAGCGAAAGCCAGGGGAGCAAACGGG
RNAcentral lists this ribosomal RNA (253 nucleotides) under uncultured bacterium. Its description in RNAcentral is "partial 16S ribosomal RNA". It matches the Rfam family "Bacterial small subunit ribosomal RNA", at positions 524 to 776 of the family's 1533-position model. The record is from RNAcentral.